UGAACGCUAGCGGCAGGCUUAAUACAUGCAAGUCGAACGGUAACAGGUCUUCGGACGCUGACGAGUGGCGCACGGGUGAGGAACACGUACACAAUCUACCUUAUACUGGAGAAUAGCCCCGGGAAACUGGGAUUAAUACUCCAUAGUCUUUAAUGAUCACAUGAGAAAUAAAGUAAAGCUUCGGCGGUAUAAGAUGAGUGUGCGUCCCAUUAGAUUGUUGGUGAGGUAACGGCUCACCAAGUCGACGAUGGGCAGCUGGCGUGAGAGCGCGACCAGCCACACUGGCACUGAGACACGGGCCAGACUCCUACGGGAGGCAGCAGUAGGGAAUAUUGGUCAAUGGACGAAAGUCUGAACCAGCCAUGCCGCGUGGAGGAUGACUGCCCUCUGGGUUGUAAACUCCUUUUAUAUGGGAAGAAACCUCUGGAUUCACUCCAGAGCUGACGGUAUCAUAUGAAUAAGCACCGGCUAACUCCGUG
This 479-nucleotide ribosomal RNA is filed under the name uncultured bacterium. RNAcentral's name for it is "bacterial SSU rRNA". It matches the Rfam family "Bacterial small subunit ribosomal RNA", at positions 30 to 507 of the family's 1533-position model. The record is from RNAcentral.